UACGUAGGGGGCAAGCGUUGUUCGGAAUUACUGGGCGUAAAGGGCGCGUAGGCGGCCCGGUAAGUCGGGAGUGAAAGCCCGGGGCUCAACCCCGGAACGUCUUUCGAAACUGCCGAGCUAGAGUGCGGAAGAGGCAACUGGAAUUCCCAGUGUAGCGGUGAAAUGCGUAGAUAUUGGGAAGAACACCUGAGGCGAAGGCGGGUUGCUGGGCCGACACUGACGCUGAGGCGCGAAAGCGUGGGGAGCGAACAGG
This 253-nucleotide ribosomal RNA is filed under the name uncultured bacterium. RNAcentral's name for it is "partial 16S ribosomal RNA". It matches the Rfam family "Bacterial small subunit ribosomal RNA", at positions 524 to 776 of the family's 1533-position model. The record is from RNAcentral.